Molecule: ribosomal RNA, 440 nt
Filed under: uncultured bacterium
Lineage: Bacteria
Description: partial 16S ribosomal RNA
Rfam family: Bacterial small subunit ribosomal RNA
Source: RNAcentral
CCUACGGGGGGCAGCAGUGGGGAAUAUUGCUCAAUGGGCGAAACCCUGAUGCAGCGACGUCGCGUGAGUGAAGACGUACCUCGUUAUGGAAAGCUCUAUCAGCAGGGAAGAAAAUGACGGUACCUGAGUAAGAAGCCCCGGCUAACUACGUGCCAGCAGCCGCGGUAAUACGUAGGGGGCAAGCGUUAUCCGGAUUUACUGGGUGUAAGGGGAGCGUAGACGGCUGUGCAAGUCUGGAGUGAAAGGCGGGGGCUCAACCCCCGGACUGCUCUGGAAACUGUACGGCUGGAGUGCAGGAGAGGUAAGUGGAAUUCCUAGUGUAGCGGUGAAAUGCGUAGAUAUUAGGAGGAACACCAGUGGCGAAGGCGGCUUACUGGACUGUAACUGACGUUGAGGCUCGAAAGCGUGGGGAGCAAACAGGAUUAGAUACCCUUGUAGUC